GCCCUCGUAGCUCAAUUGGACAGAGCAAGUGGCUUCUAUCCACUAGGUUGGGAGUUCGAAUCUCUCCGAGGGUA
RNAcentral lists this transfer RNA (74 nucleotides) under Patescibacteria group bacterium. Its description in RNAcentral is "tRNA-Arg". It matches the Rfam family "tRNA". Rfam says of the family: Transfer RNA (tRNA) molecules are approximately 80 nucleotides in length. The record is from RNAcentral.